AUAUGAAGGCGGGCUGGAACCUCUCGGGGUUACAGCCUUGCUGAAUUAUUCACCCUUGUCUUUUGCGUACUUCUUGUUUCCUUGGUGGGUUCGCCCACCACUAGGACAAACAUAAACCUUUUGUAAUUGCAAUCAGCGUCAGUAACAAAUUAAUAAUUACAACUUUCAACAACGGAUCUCUUGGUUCUGGCAUCGAUGAAGAACGCAGCGAAAUGCGAUAAGUAGUGUGAAUUGCAGAAUUCAGUGAAUCAUCGAAUCUUUGAACGCACAUUGCGCCCUUUGGUAUUCCAAAGGGCAUGCCUGUUCGAGCGUCAUUUGUACCCUCAAGCUUUGCUUGGUGUUGGGCGUCUUGUCUCUAGCUUUGCUGGAGACUCGCCUUAAAGUAAUUGGCAGCCGGCCUACUGGUUUCGGAGCGCAGCACAAGUCGCACUCUCUAUCAGCAAAGGUCUAGCAUCCAUUAAGCCUUUUUUUUCAACUUUUGACCUCGGAUCAGGUAGGGAUACCCGCUGAACUUAAGCAUAUC
RNAcentral lists this ribosomal RNA (523 nucleotides) under uncultured fungus. Its description in RNAcentral is "eukaryotic LSU rRNA". The stretch from base 161 to 314 matches the Rfam family "5.8S ribosomal RNA". The record is from RNAcentral. Lineage: Eukaryota; Fungi.